This is a non-coding RNA of Podarcis lilfordi (Lilford's wall lizard), 2643 nucleotides long. NCBI's taxonomy places the organism in Eukaryota, Metazoa, Chordata, Lepidosauria, Squamata, Lacertidae. The record is from the annotation of a GenBank genome assembly.
CACAAAAUUGCAAAGGAACAUUGUACAUGCAUAAUUGGAUGGGGGGAGUGGACAUGAUGAAGGGAGCGCUCUAUAUAAAUCUCUUAUGAGAAGAAGAAGCACAGAUUCCAGUCUUUCUGGGAGUUUACUGUGUUUCUACCUCUCAUCCAGAAUAAAAUGUUACUUGGAGGAGCUUCUACCCAUAAGUUGACUGACUCUCGCUUACUGAAUUUAAAUGGUUGCAGCCGUUUAUCUCCCCAGUCUUUUCUUUUACAAUUGAGGGACUCAUGUGAAUUUUAUGUUUCAGUUUUACUGACAAACUCCAACCCUAAAAUUUCAGGAACAUAUGGGUAGGUUCCUUUCUGUAGUCCUAGAACACAGUUGUUAAAGGGAGGAUCCAAGUAAAAAUUGCCUGUAUUUUUGAUCCUGAAUUUUGUUAUACCCUUCUUUUAAAAGGCACAAUCUGCAUGUUGUUUAUGGUCAAUAGACCCAAUAACCCAAACUGCUUACUCAACCAGAACAGCCACAGCCCUCUAGUAAUUUUUUUAAAAAAAUCCAUUGUCAUUUCAGCUUCUUUUUAAAAAAAACAACCACACACACUGUUUAUCAGCUUGCACAGAUGAAGCUUUAAAGAUGGGUUGCUGAUGACUAAAGAUGCUCGCAGUUAUGCCCUAGCAAGCUAGUUAGCCAGGUCCUUGCUUCUCAGGUUGCCGUUGCCUUUAAAUCCAGGGUAAGGCGGUGUCUGUUGCUCCCCACAUUUCUGCUAUUUAAAGCAGUUUCACUUGUCAAGACAGUAGGGCCCCUCCUGCUACUGCUGCUGCCUCAUUUCUUCCUCUCUCUCUCUCUCUCUCUCUCUCUUUACCUUCCAGCUCACUGCCUCUGUUCCUGGGGGCCUCGGGAGGCUUUAACAAGCUCUAGAUUGUUAGUGACAGUCAGACACUUUAACACUUAAAGUAGAAGGUUUGAUUUAAUCGCAAGGCUGUCAUUUAUUAUUUGUCUGCUGUGUUCCGCUGGGGCGCCCGCUGAUCAACUGCCUGCUCCCAAGAGUGCUUUCUUUUCCUUUCCUCCCCCCCCCCUUUUUUUGUUAUGUCUAAAUCCUCAAUACAAAUUGCAGAGUUUCUGCAUCUCCCAGUGGGACCCAUUACCGCCUGUGGGGCAUUAAGGAUCAUUAAUAGUGCUGUCAGCAAGCUAGCCAGUUGGUUAGCUUCUCAUAAAUAGGAAAUUAAUCCAUCUACUUCAUUAAUAAUGCCGAGUGUAGCUAUUUUGUUGCUCUCGGUGUAACGGAGGCCCCAGUUGCAUGUAUGUAAUGUGAUAAGACAGGACUCCAAAUUAGCAUAGAAUGUCUGAUUCAAGAGCACAGGCUCAAUUACUUAGAGAAAUGUUGUUUUAGGUUUUUUUGGUGUUUUUGUUUUUGUUUUUACAAAGAAAUAUUAUUGCGAACAAUUUUAGACAUCCUUCAGCAACAAGGGGUGCUUCCAGAUGACCUAUUUAUUGAGUGUCAUCCUGAUUUGUUUGCAGGGAGAUCAGACAACGUUGACUGUUUAUUGGGCAUUUGUUCCAGUUCGUUUGUGGGGAGGUUAGAUGACACUGCAUCAAAACAAGCUUUAUCCCACACUUUCCGGUGCAUUUUCUUGUCACUUUCCUUAUCUCAAAAAGUCCAAUUUUGGGGGGAAGCAGGUUUUUUAGGAACAUAGGAAUCUGCCUUAUACCAAGUCAGACCAUUGGUUCAUCUAUCUCAGCACUGUCUACUACACUGACUGGCAGGCGCUUUCCAGGAUUUCAGAUGGGGAAUCUCUCCUAAGCCUACCUGGAGAUGUAGGCGAUUGAACCUAAGACCUUCUGUAAUGCAAGGCAAAUAUUCCCCUAAAGACUUCCCAAUCAACUACAAUUCUGCAAUCUGAAUUUGCCAGUAUGCAAUUGAAUCCUACCUAAGCAUUAUGACUGUCCAAGUGACCAAGUUAAAAUUGCAAAAGGAGGGGGGGAUAAGAAGGGUCCCAGUUGACUUCAUUGUUGUUGUUUGAUUAGAGAACGUGAUUUGUUUUAGUGUGUUGUUUUAGUGUGUUGCCAUGAAGAAGCAGAGGAGAAAAAGAAGGCUUCCAAAACGUGAGGCAACCUUACCCAGGAACAGGUACAAUGCUUUGUAAUUAGGCUGAGGCUCAACACAUCAUAUUCCUCCAGCAUUUCCUGCCCUGAUUUUAUAACUGUAGUCCUUGAAGGAUAAUUAAGACCUUGAAGGAGUUGCAUGGAGCUCUUAGUUUUGAAGGAGGUUGAAACACAGAUGAAAAGAAAUAAAUGGAGGGGGGAGCUUGGUCACCAACCCACCCCUGUGGUGCAACGCAUAGUGCUCAGUCAAACUGAACGUUCCUGACACUGUCAGGAAGCAUGUCAGCAAAGGUCACAAGAGCAGUGCAGUUCUACAGAAAACAUUGAAAUUAGUCCAUACUUGUUUACACAAAGAUACAGAGCAGUCAGCCCAUCCAAAUGGCUACUCCCCUGGAUUUUAAUCAACCCAUCCAUUAAUAAAUAGGUUAAAUUUAGAUUCAGGUACAAAUUGCUAACCUCAGUGAGUGUGCAAUAUAAAACAACACAGGAUGCCACAAAAUGAUGCAGUGUGAAAUGUUCUUGUUCAGUGUUCCAGCCAGCUAGCCAUGCCCUUUUCUGAGA